AACGAACGCUGGCGGCAUGCCUAACACAUGCAAGUCGAACGAGACCUUCGGGUCUUGUGGCGCACGGGUGCGUAACGCGUGGGAACCUGCCCUUAGGUUCGGAAUAACUCCCCGAAAGGGGUGCUAAUACCGGAUAAUGUCUUCGGACCAAAGAUUUAUCGCCUUUGGAUGGGCCCGCGUUGGAUUAGCUAGUUGGUAGGGUAAAAGCCUACCAAGGCGACGAUCCAUAGCUGGUCUGAGAGGAUGACCAGCCACACUGGGACUGAGACACGGCCCAGACUCCUACGCGAGGCAGCAGUGGGUAAUAUUGGACAAUGGGCGAAAGCCUGAUCCAGCAAUGCCGCGUGAGUGAUGAAGGCCUUAGGGUUGUAAAGCUCUUUUACCCGGGAUGAUAAUGACGGUACCGGGAGAAUAAGCUCCGGCUAACUACGUG
Molecule: ribosomal RNA, 433 nt
Filed under: uncultured bacterium
Lineage: Bacteria
Description: partial 16S ribosomal RNA
Rfam family: Bacterial small subunit ribosomal RNA
Source: RNAcentral